AACGAACGCUGGCGGCACGCCUAACACAUGCAAGUCGAACGCAGUAGCAAUACUGAGUGGCAAACGGGUGAGUAUAAUGUGGGAAUCUGCCUUUUGGUUUGGAAUAACACGAGGAAACUUGUGCUAAUACCGAAUAAGCCUUUACAGGGAAAGUUUUAACGCCGAAAGAUGAGCCCGCACUUGAUUAGCUAGUUGGUAAGGUAAAAGCUUACCAAGGCAAUGAUCAAUAGCUGUUCUUAGAGGAAGACCAGCCACAUUGGGACUGAGACACGGCCCAAACUCCUACGGGAGGCAGCAGUGGGGAAUCUUGCACAAUGGGGGAAACCCUGAUGCAGCGAUGCCGCGUGAGUGAAGAAGGCCUUUGGGUUGUAAAACUCUUUCGUCGGGGAAGAAAAUGACUGUACCCGAAUAAGAAGGUCCGGCUAACUUCGUGCCAGCAGCCGCGGUAAUACGAAGGGACCUAGCGUAGUUCGGAAUUACUGGGCUUAAAGAGCUCGUAGGUGGUUAAAAUAGUUGAUGGUGAAAUCCCAAGGCUCAACCUUGGAACUGCCAUCAAAACUUUUUAGCUAGAGUGUGAUAGAGGUAAGUGGAAUUUCUAGUGUAGAGGUGAAAUUCAUA
RNAcentral lists this ribosomal RNA (618 nucleotides) under uncultured Alphaproteobacteria bacterium. Its description in RNAcentral is "bacterial SSU rRNA". It matches the Rfam family "Bacterial small subunit ribosomal RNA", at positions 28 to 692 of the family's 1533-position model. The record is from RNAcentral. Lineage: Bacteria; Pseudomonadati; Pseudomonadota; Alphaproteobacteria.